RNAcentral lists this ribosomal RNA (468 nucleotides) under uncultured bacterium. Its description in RNAcentral is "partial 16S ribosomal RNA". It matches the Rfam family "Bacterial small subunit ribosomal RNA", at positions 28 to 507 of the family's 1533-position model. The record is from RNAcentral.
GACGAACGCUGGCGGCGUGCUUAACACAUGCAAGUCGAACGGAAAGGCCCUGCUUUUGUGGGGUGCUCGAGUGGCGAACGGGUGAGUAACACGUGAGUAACCUGCCCUUGACUUUGGGAUAACUUCAGGAAACUGGGGCUAAUACCGGAUAGGAGCUCCUGCUGCAUGGUGGGGGUUGGAAAGUUUCGGCGGUUGGGGAUGGACUCGCGGCUUAUCAGCUUGUUGGUGGGGUAGUGGCUUACCAAGGCUUUGACGGGUAGCCGGCCUGAGAGGGUGACCGGCCCCAUUGGGACUGAGAUACGGCCCAGACUCAUACGGGAGGCAGCAGUGGGGAAUAUUGCACAAUGGGCGGAAGCCUGAUGCAGCAACGCCGCGUGCGGGAUGACGGCCUUCGGGUUGUAAACCGCUUUCGCCUGUGACGAAGCGUGAGUGACGGUAAUGGGUAAAGAAGCACCGGCUAACUACGUG